GGAGAAGUGGCAGAUAGGAAUGUAUGCGGCUUGAAACCGUUCGAUAGAGGUUUAAUUCCUCUCUU
RNAcentral lists this transfer RNA (65 nucleotides) under Strongylocentrotus droebachiensis (green sea urchin). RNAcentral's name for it is "transfer RNA-Ser (UCN)". It matches the Rfam family "tRNA". Rfam says of the family: Transfer RNA (tRNA) molecules are approximately 80 nucleotides in length. Their secondary structure includes four short double-helical elements and three loops (D, anti-codon, and T loops). Lineage: Eukaryota; Metazoa; Echinodermata; Echinoidea; Camarodonta; Strongylocentrotidae. The record is from RNAcentral.